GACGAACGCUGGCGGCGUGCUUAACACAUGCAAGUCGAACGGUAAGGCCCUUCGGGGUACACGAGUGGCGAACGGGUGAGUAACACGUGGGUGAUCUGCCCUGCACUUCGGGAUAAGCCUGGGAAACUGGGUCUAAUACCGGAUAGGACCACUGCCUGCAUGGGUGGUGGUGGAAAGCUUUUGCGGUGUGGGAUGGGCCCGCGGCCUAUCAGCUUGUUGGUGGGGUGAUGGACUACCAAGGCGACGACGGGUAGCCGGCCUGAGAGGGUGACCGGCCACACUGGGACUGAGAUACGGCCCAGACGCCUACGGGAGGCAGCAGUGGGGAAUAUUGCGCAAUGGGCGCAAGCCUGAUGCAGCGACGCCGCGUGAGGGAUGACGGCCUUCGGGUUGUAAACCUCUUUCAGCACCGACGAAGCGCAAGUGACGGUAGGUGCAGAAGAAGGACCGGCCAACUACGUGCCAGCCGCCGCGGUAA
RNAcentral lists this ribosomal RNA (478 nucleotides) under uncultured bacterium. Its description in RNAcentral is "partial 16S ribosomal RNA". It matches the Rfam family "Bacterial small subunit ribosomal RNA", at positions 28 to 523 of the family's 1533-position model. The record is from RNAcentral.